GGGCCGGGCACCCUGAGAUACCACUGAACCGCCUCUGUACAUAUGAAUCAGAUAAAGAGUACAUCGAAGCCGAUGAAGGUCCGCUUGAUUAGGGAGCUACCAUUUCAUUUUUAUGGGGGGGCUAGGAGGAAAAAUUUUGUCCUGCAUUUUUUUUAGCUGUAAUCUCUGUCCUGCCUUUUUAUUUUUCACUCUGUUCGGUCCUGCCUUUUUUUUUUUAGUUUAUCCUGCCUUUUUUUACCUAAAUUGUCGUCCUGACUUUUUUUUUUUGCAAGUGUCUCAUCCUGCCUUUUUUUUUUACUCAAAACUCCUGUCCUGCCUAUUUUUUUCAAAUUUCAUCCUAGCCCCCCCAUAAAAAUUAAAUGGUAGCUCCCUUAGCAUG
RNAcentral lists this long non-coding RNA (379 nucleotides) under Mytilus galloprovincialis (Mediterranean mussel). Lineage: Eukaryota; Metazoa; Mollusca; Bivalvia; Mytilida; Mytilidae. The record is from RNAcentral.